Molecule: ribosomal RNA, 490 nt
Filed under: uncultured bacterium
Lineage: Bacteria
Description: bacterial SSU rRNA
Rfam family: Bacterial small subunit ribosomal RNA
Source: RNAcentral
CUACGUGCCAGCAGCCGCGGUAAUACGGAGGGUGCGAGCGUUAAUCGGAAUAACUGGGCGUAAAGGGCACGCAGGCGGUGACUUAAGUGAGGUGUGAAAGCCCCGGGCUUAACCUGGGAAUUGCAUUUCAUACUGGGUCGCUAGAGUACUUUAGGGAGGGGUAGAAUUCCACGUGUAGCGGUGAAAUGCGUAGAGAUGUGGAGGAAUACCGAAGGCGAAGGCAGCCCCUUGGGAAUGUACUGACGCUCAUGUGCGAAAGCGUGGGGAGCAAACAGGAUUAGAUACCCUGGUAGUCCACGCUGUAAACGAUGUCGAUUUGGGGGUUGAACUUUAAGUUUGGCGCCCGUAGCUAACGUGAUAAAUCGACCGCCUGGGGAGUACGGCCGCAAGGUUAAAACUCAAAUGAAUUGACGGGGGCCCGCACAAGCGGUGGAGCAUGUGGUUUAAUUCGAUGCAACGCGAAGAACCUUACCUACUCUUGACAUCCAGA